CAAACGUUCCAAGCGGAUGAAAUCCCCUCCGUGGGACACAAAUCCCAGCAGCCUGAGGAGCUGUGCUCCAUUUUGCACCUUCUGGACCUUUUGCAAGGAAAAUGAAGCAUUUUCAGAGUGCCCCCAGGAUAUCCUGAGAUGGAAGGGACCCACCAGGAUCAUCAAAUCCAAUUCCACAAUGCCAGAGGGAAAAUGAGAGCUCCAGCACAGAUCUGUUCUGCCACCGUGUGCGACCCACAGUGCACCAAUGGUGUGAAAGUUUUUUACUUUGAGACCAAUGAAAUUGGUCUUCACGACGUUCUCUGUAAAAGGGAGACAUACUUUGAAUAAACGGUUCAUUCUUUGC
Molecule: long non-coding RNA, 346 nt
Organism: Vidua chalybeata
Lineage: Eukaryota; Metazoa; Chordata; Aves; Passeriformes; Viduidae
Exons: 2
Source: RefSeq, a predicted model, not a curated record